GUGUGUGAAGAAGGCCUAGGGUUGUAAAGCACUUUCAAUGGGGAGGAAAACCUGCCGGUCAAUACCCGGUAGCUUGACAUUACCUGUAGAAGAAGCACCGGCUAACUCCGUGCCAGCAGCCGCGGUAAUACGGAGGGUGCAAGCGUUAAUCGGAAUUACUGGGCGUAAAGCGUGCGUAGGCGGCUCGUUAAGUCAGAUGUGAAAGCCCUGGGCUCAACCUGGGAACUGCAUUUGAAACUGGCGAGCUAGAGUUGAGUAGAGGUAAGUGGAAUUUCAGGUGUAGCGGUGAAAUGCGUAGAUAUCUGAAGGAACACCAGUGGCGAAGGCGACUUACUGGACUCAAACUGACGCUGAGGUACGAAAGCGUGGGUAGCAAACAGGAUUAGAUACCUGGUAGUCCACGCCGUAAACGAUGUCACUAGCCGUUGGUCCUAUUUACAGGAU
Molecule: ribosomal RNA, 444 nt
Filed under: uncultured bacterium
Lineage: Bacteria
Description: bacterial SSU rRNA
Rfam family: Bacterial small subunit ribosomal RNA
Source: RNAcentral